Microplitis mediator is the source of this 1115-nucleotide long non-coding RNA. RefSeq lists it as uncharacterized. The record is from RefSeq and is a predicted model, not a curated record. The transcript is spliced from 4 exons. Lineage: Eukaryota; Metazoa; Arthropoda; Insecta; Hymenoptera; Braconidae.
CGAUGGCGGAAUUAAUUAAUUACCGUAGCACUUUAUCGUGUAAUUGUUGAGAUUUGACUUCGGGCAUCGUCGGUUUUGAAUCCCACUCUGGAUGUUUAAAUAUUUUCCCGCUUUUCACUGCGCAUGCGCAGUUUAUCAAGGUACGGUAGUGGGUGCGAUUUCCGAGGUCCAUUCUCUUACGGUGGGACCACAACACCAAGCCUUCGUCGCUUCAUGAGCAUUGCCACCGUUGCCUGUGCAGCACUGCUCCUGCUCCCGAUUCCGCAAUUCCGCAUUCGACCACAAGUCACCAACCAUUUCAGAUGUGCUUUGGAAAUAAAUUUUGACAUAAUAAAUAAAUUUAAAAAAAAAUAUCGCCAUUUUGAAUUGAUAGCACGAUCUGUUGGUCGGGAAUUUGUACAACAGUACUAUACAUUGUUGAAUCAAGCACCAGCUCAAUAAAACAGAACACUAAUGGAGAAUUUCAAAAUGGCGGUGCGUCGUCAACCUGUUCGUCAAUUUACUCAGAAGAAUAAGAAGAAGAAAAAAAAAAAAUUUUGUUUGGUAUUCUAUCCUGUAAAGGCGAAGCUGGAUUAUCCCGCGUUCCGGACUCUGAACUGUGAAUCAAAAGAAAAAAAAAAUUUUUUUCUUUGGUAUUCUCAGUAGAGUUUACCUACAGUUUCAACCCAUGUAACACAAAUAUUACUACGGGUAUCAAUCGAAGGCAUUAGUUAUCAUACAAAAUGUUCUAACCCCCUAGACUGAUAUACUCAAACCGUAGUAAUAUUUUUGGGUUGGAUUAUAAUAUAGGUCCAGCAAUGUCCUAGAGAUGAAUUGCUGGACACGGAAGUGGGGUCACACCUGCGUAGCCAAACUGUCAAACAGUCCUCAGUAGAGGCGCUGUUUUUCAGUGUUGAAAUGAGGAACUCCUUUUUAUUAUUAUUUCCUUUUUAUUAUUAUUUCCUUUUUAUUAUUAACUUUCCUUUUUAUUAUUAUUUCCUUUUUAUUAUUAACUUUCUAUUUACAUAAAUACAAUGACAACUAAAUUUUUAGUACUAUAAUACUUCUAAUUAAAAAAAUUAUAAAUAUAAUCAAAAAGAAAUGUUGACUUGCAGUCAUAUUUGUCCAAUUAUCAG